Long non-coding RNA from Thamnophis elegans (Western terrestrial garter snake), 515 nucleotides. RefSeq lists it as uncharacterized. Lineage: Eukaryota; Metazoa; Chordata; Lepidosauria; Squamata; Natricidae. The record is from RefSeq and is a predicted model, not a curated record. The transcript is spliced from 4 exons.
GCUUUACAACAGCGCCGUGACAGAAAGCCAAUUUAACUUAAGAUCUCAUUUCUCUCUUGGCCUCCUGGUUUAACCCUACGAUAGAAAUCCGGGUUGCCUGCACAAGACCAGGAUAAACUUUCAAGUGUUUGAAGAAUACCGUUGCCUUCCUCUUAAUGUUUUCCACUUCAGAGUGAUCCAGUUCUUUCUCUGAAUAUGUUUUAGCAGGAAUUCCUGCGGAGGUGAAACACGUGUUUAAGAGUCUUGCACUCAAACGGCGGAAACAGGUAAGAAAAGAAAAAUUGUUCAGUCCUUAUUUGUUCUUAGUUCUCCAGAUUUUCAGACACGUUCCCGGGUUUAAUGGCAGGCAUCCCAUACGAAUUUGGAAUUUUUGCAUGCAAAUUACCAUCUACUAUGAAGACGUUAAGUUCAUACCUUACCAAAUCAUUUACAAGGAGACUCCUGUAAAAAUCAUAGGUAUCCUUCAAGAGCCUGCUGUAAAAAAAAUGUUUUCCUUCCUUCCUUCCUUCUCUCUC